This 253-nucleotide ribosomal RNA is filed under the name uncultured bacterium. Its description in RNAcentral is "partial 16S ribosomal RNA". It matches the Rfam family "Bacterial small subunit ribosomal RNA", at positions 524 to 776 of the family's 1533-position model. The record is from RNAcentral.
UACGUAGGUGGCAAGCGUUAUCCGGAAUUACUGGGCGUAAAGGGCGUGUAGGCGGGAAGACAAGUCAGAAGUGAAACUCCGGGGCUUAACUCCGGAACUGCUUCUGAAACUGUCUUUCUUGAGUGUUGGAGAGGAAAGUGGAAUUCCCGGUGUAGCGGUGAAAUGCGUAGAGAUCGGGAGGAACACCAGUGGCGAAGGCGGCUUUCUGGACAAUAACUGACGCUGAGGCGCGAAAGCGUGGGGAGCAAACAGG